This is a long non-coding RNA of Phyllostomus hastatus (greater spear-nosed bat), 367 nucleotides long. RefSeq lists it as uncharacterized. Lineage: Eukaryota; Metazoa; Chordata; Mammalia; Chiroptera; Phyllostomidae. The transcript is spliced from 3 exons. The record is from RefSeq and is a predicted model, not a curated record.
GUGGGCAGUCUUAUGGGACUAACCCCUUUAAAAAUGAACUGUAGGUAGUUAGUGUCAGAAUUGAAUUGUUGGGCUGCCAGUUGGUGUAUGGAGAGAGUCAGAGAACCAGCUGGUGUUGGAAAAUAUUUUGGAGCCACCAUUCAAAGUACACCCCACUGAUGAAGAGAGCCUUGAAUGAACCAUUUAGUCCAACUUCCUCAUUUCAUAUAUAAGAGAUUUUUCUGGUAAGGAGAUAUACCAUAGGAAAGCAAUUUCACUGGCAGUGAGGUAUGUAUAUACUCUACCAAAAUACUCCUUAUUUUAAUGUUUUUAACUUUAUUUACAUACAAAAAAGUAUCAAUGCAUAUCCUUGCUUCAACUAUAGUAU